Molecule: ribosomal RNA, 490 nt
Filed under: uncultured bacterium
Lineage: Bacteria
Description: partial 16S ribosomal RNA
Rfam family: Bacterial small subunit ribosomal RNA
Source: RNAcentral
GAUGAACGCUAGCUACAGGCUUAACACAUGCAAGUCGCGGGGCAGCAUGGGGGUUGCUUGCAAUCCCCGAUGGCGACCGGCGCACGGGUGAGUAACGCGUAUCCAACCUGCCCUUCACCACGGGAUAAACCGGCGAAAGUCGGACUAAUACCGUAUGUUGUCCAUUGACGGCAUCCGAUUUGGACGAAAGGUUUGGCGGUGAAGGAUGGGGAUGCGUCCGAUUAGCUGGACGGCGGGGUGACGGCCGACCGUGGCGACGAUCGGUAGGGGUUCUGAGAGGAAGGUCCCCCACACUGGAACUGAGACACGGUCCAGACUCCUACGGGAGGCAGCAGUGAGGAAUAUUGGUCAAUGGGCGUAAGCCUGAACCAGCCAAGUAGCGUGCAGGAUGACGGCCCUAUGGGUUGUAAACUGCUUUUAUGCGGGGAUAAAGUGGCCCACGUGUGGGUUUUUGCAGGUACCGCAUGAAUAAGGACCGGCUAAUUCCGUG